GCCGAUGUAGCUCAACUGGUAGAGCAGCGGUUUUGUAAACCGCAGGUCGUAGGUUCAAAUCCUAUCGUCGGCU
This 73-nucleotide transfer RNA is filed under the name Candidatus Endomicrobiellum mastotermitis. RNAcentral's name for it is "tRNA-Thr". It matches the Rfam family "tRNA". Rfam says of the family: Transfer RNA (tRNA) molecules are approximately 80 nucleotides in length. Their secondary structure includes four short double-helical elements and three loops (D, anti-codon, and T loops). The record is from RNAcentral. Lineage: Bacteria; Pseudomonadati; Elusimicrobiota; Endomicrobiia; Endomicrobiales; Endomicrobiaceae.